UUUCCGUAGGUGAACCUGCGGAAGGAUCAUUAGUGAAUUUUGGGUGUCUCUUCCACAGAGAGCCCGUCUUCCACUUUUAAACCCCGGUCGUUCCUUGGGUCUUCCCUUGGUUCGAUAAGGAAUUUUUUUAACACAAGUCAAAGAAUGUAACUUUCAAAGUUUUAAAUAACCAAAUAAAACUUUCAACAACGGAUCUCUUGGCUCUCACAUCGAUGAAGAACGCAGC
This 226-nucleotide unclassified non-coding RNA is filed under the name uncultured fungus. RNAcentral describes it as "sequence contains ITS1, 5.8S rRNA gene". The stretch from base 178 to 226 matches the Rfam family "5.8S ribosomal RNA", at positions 1 to 49 of the family's 154-position model. Lineage: Eukaryota; Fungi. The record is from RNAcentral.